Molecule: long non-coding RNA, 549 nt
Filed under: Lathyrus oleraceus (garden pea)
Lineage: Eukaryota; Viridiplantae; Streptophyta; Magnoliopsida; Fabales; Fabaceae
Description: Pisum sativum (pea) long non-coding RNA (PSAT_LNC017175)
Source: RNAcentral
UUUCUUCAAAUUUAAGAUCAGCCACUUAUAACAUGCUUGGAUGCUCACAUAAAGUUUGCAAACAAUAUCAGAGCCAGUCAGAUAAUUCCCAAAGAGUUAAGGACGUCCGAUUCAUCAAAGCAAUAUGAGGUCCAUAGUACCAUGCAAUGAAUUGCCAUCAUACCAGCAUGCUUCAAUUCCAUUUCAUGAAUAGUACUCAAUACAAAUUCCAACCAUACAUCCCAAAUUCACAAAGUUUCCUACAGUUAGUUCUAAUAAUAAGCGUCUUAGAAUUUAACGUGAGCAUAUCAUCUAAAAUGGAGGGUCUUGUACUUGUUGUUGGUUUGGCUUCAUUUCAAACGCUUUUAGGAUCUUUAAAGUUGGGCGUGAGGAUUAAGUGUUAAAAACCAAGACAACCCUUGCUGUUUGAAUCCAUGGAAAGGAUGUCUGUCAUCGACCCAAGUGUUCUGUCUACAGCAAGGGCGAAAAUGCAACUGUACGUAGGCAUGACUUCGACCUCUCCAACUUUCAUCUUUCUAAUUACUUUCGACUUCGUUUGGGUUGAAGCAG